CAAUAGCGUAUAUUAAAGUUGUUGCGGUUAAAACGCUCGUAGUUGGAUUUCUGUUGAGGGCAGCCGGUCCGCACUUCGUGCGUGUAUCUGGUUUGACCUCGGCAUCCUCUCAAAAUACGUUUCUGCGCUUGAUUGCGUGGAGCGGAGUUUGAGACUUUUACUUUGAGGAAAUUAGAGUGUUCACGGCAGGCAAUCGCCUUGAAUAUAUUAGCAUGGAAUAAUAAUAUAGGAUCUUGGUUCUAUUUUGUUGGUUUCUAGAGCUAAGAUAAUGAUUAAUAGGGGCAAUUGGGGGCAUUCGUAUUAACGCGUCAGAGGUGGAAUUCUUGGAUUGCGUUACGACGAACUACUGCGAAAGCAUUUGCCAAGGAUGUUUUCAUUGA
This 380-nucleotide ribosomal RNA is filed under the name uncultured eukaryote. RNAcentral describes it as "partial 18S ribosomal RNA". It matches the Rfam family "Eukaryotic small subunit ribosomal RNA", at positions 592 to 976 of the family's 1831-position model. The record is from RNAcentral.